CCUACGGGGGGCAGCAGUGGGGAAUAUUGCACAAUGGGCGCAAGCCUGAUGCAGCCAUGCCGCGUGUGUGAAGAAGGCCUUCGGGUUGUAAAGCACUUUCAGCGGGGAGGAAGGCGUUAAGGUUAAUAACCUUGUCGAUUGACGUUACCCGCAGGAGAAGCACCGGCUAACUCCGUGCCAGCAGCCGCGGUAAUACGGAGGGUGCAAGCGUUAAUCGGAAUUACUGGGCGUAAAGCGCACGCAGGCGGUCUGUCAAGUCGGAUGUGAAAUCCCCGGGCUCAACCUGGGAACUGCAUUCGAAACUGGCAGGCUAGAGUCUUGUAGAGGGGGGUAGAAUUCCAGGUGUAGCGGUGAAAUGCGUAGAGAUCUGGAGGAAUACCGGUGGCGAAGGCGGCCCCCUGGACAAAGACUGACGCUCAGGUGCGAAAGCGUGGGGAACAAACAGGAUUAGAUACCCCUGUAGUC
Molecule: ribosomal RNA, 465 nt
Filed under: uncultured Klebsiella sp.
Lineage: Bacteria; Pseudomonadati; Pseudomonadota; Gammaproteobacteria; Enterobacterales; Enterobacteriaceae
Description: bacterial SSU rRNA
Rfam family: Bacterial small subunit ribosomal RNA
Source: RNAcentral